RNAcentral lists this ribosomal RNA (551 nucleotides) under uncultured Pseudoxanthomonas sp. RNAcentral's name for it is "bacterial SSU rRNA". It matches the Rfam family "Bacterial small subunit ribosomal RNA", at positions 355 to 897 of the family's 1533-position model. Lineage: Bacteria; Pseudomonadati; Pseudomonadota; Gammaproteobacteria; Lysobacterales; Lysobacteraceae. The record is from RNAcentral.
UGGGGAAUAUUGGACAAUGGGCGCAAGCCUGAUCCAGCCAUACCGCGUGGGUGAAGAAGGCCUUCGGGUUGUAAAGCCCUUUUGUUGGGAAAGAAAUCCUGUCGAUUAAUACUCGGUGGGGAUGACGGUACCCAAAGAAUAAGCACCGGCUAACUUCGUGCCAGCAGCCGCGGUAAUACGAAGGGUGCAAGCGUUACUCGGAAUUACUGGGCGUAAAGCGUGCGUAGGUGGUGGUUUAAGUCUGCUGUGAAAGCCCUGGGCUCAACCUGGGAAUUGCAGUGGAUACUGGAUCACUAGAGUGUGGUAGAGGGAUGCGGAAUUUCUGGUGUAGCAGUGAAAUGCGUAGAGAUCAGAAGGAACAUCCGUGGCGAAGGCGGCAUCCUGGGCCAACACUGACACUGAGGCACGAAAGCGUGGGGAGCAAACAGGAUUAGAUACCCUGGUAGUCCACGCCCUAAACGAUGCGAACUGGAUGUUGGGUGCAACUUGGCACCCAGUAUCGAAGCUAACGCGUUAAGUUCGCCGCCUGGGGAGUACGGUCGCAAGACUGA